AUGGUCACAACAGUCAUAAAAGUAACAACAUUAACAACAGUCACGUCAGUCACAACAUUAACAACAGUAACAACAGUCACAACAGUCACAGCAGUCAUAAAAGUAACAACAAUUACAACAUUAACAACAGUCACAACAUUAACAACAGGCACAACAUUAACAACAGUCACAACAGUUACAACAGUCACAACAUUAACAACAGUCACAACAGUAACAACAAUUACAUUAGUCAUAACAUUAACAACAGUCACAACAGUCACAACACUCACAACAGUCACAACUGUCACAACUGUAACAACAGUCACAACAGUUACAACCGUUACAACAGUAACAGCAGUCACAACUGUAACAACAGUCACAACAGUAACAACAGUCACAACAUUAACAACAGUCACAACAGUCACAACAGUUACACCAGUCACAACAGUAGCAACAGUCACAACAUUAACAACAGUAACAACAGUCACAACAUUAACAACAGUCACAACAGUCACAACAGUUACACCAGUCACAACAGUAACAACAGUCACAACAUUAACAACAGUUACACCAGUCACAACUGUAACAACAGUCACAACAGUCACAACUGUAACAACAGUCACAACAGUAACAACAGUCACAACAUUAACAACAGUCACAACAGUCACAACAGUUACACCAGUCACAACAGUAACAACAGUCACAACAUUAACAACAGUAACAACAGUCACAACAUUAACAACAGUCACAACAGUCACAACAGUUACACCAGUCACAACAGUAACAACAGUCACAACAUUAACAACAGUUACACCAGUCACAACUGUAACAACAGUCACAACAGUCACAACUGUAACAACAGUCACAACAGUUACAACCGUUACAACAGUAACAGCAGUCACAACUGUAACAACAGUCACAACAUUAACAACAGUCACAACAGUCACAACAGUUACACCAGUCACAACAGUUACAACCGUUACAACAGUAACAGCAGUCACAACUGUAACAACAGUCACAACAUUAACAACAGUCACAACAUUAACAACAGUAACAACAGUCACAACCGUUACAACAGUAACAGCAGUCACAACUGUAACAACAGUAACAGCAGUCACAACUGUAACAACAGUAACAACAGUAACAACAGUCACAACUGUAACAACAGUCACAACAGUUACAACCGUUACAUCAGUAACAGCAGUCACAACUGUAACAACAGUCACAACAUUAACAACAGUCACAACAGUCACAACAGUUACACCAGUCACAACAGUAACAACAGUCACAACUGUAACAACAGUCACAACAUUAACAACAUUGACAACAGUAACAACAUUAACAACAGUCACAACAGUCACAACUGUUACAACAUUAACAACAUUAACAACAGUAACAACAAUAAUAACAGUCACAACAGUCACAACAUUAACAACAGUUACGGCAGUCACAACAUUAACAACAUUAACAACAUUAACAACAAUCACAACAGUCACAACAGUAACAACAGUCACAACAGGUCGACUCAAACCCGACUGUGUUUCUGUUUCAGAUAACUUUCUGUGUCCGUGUUGUCAUAGUGGGUACUUCCCAGCGUCUCUGAUAAUCACUCCCACAUUGUCGACCUGCGGGCUGCAUGUUGUUGUUGUUUUGUUCGUUGGAACUAAUCAGGAAACACAUUUGCAAGUUUCUGUAUAA
Sparus aurata (gilthead seabream) is the source of this 1677-nucleotide long non-coding RNA. NCBI's taxonomy places the organism in Eukaryota, Metazoa, Chordata, Actinopteri, Spariformes, Sparidae. The record is from Ensembl.